Molecule: ribosomal RNA, 827 nt
Filed under: Arxotrichum succineum
Lineage: Eukaryota; Fungi; Ascomycota; Sordariomycetes; Sordariales; Chaetomiaceae
Description: partial large subunit ribosomal RNA
Rfam family: Eukaryotic large subunit ribosomal RNA
Source: RNAcentral
CCCUAGUAACGGCGAGUGAAGCGGCAACAGCUCAAAUUUGAAAUCUGGCUUCGGCCCGAGUUGUAAUUUGCAGAGGAAGCUUUAGGCGCGGCACCAUCUGAGUCCCCUGGAACGGGGCGCCAUAGAGGGUGAGAGCCCCGUAUAGAUGGACGCCUAGCCUGUGUAAAGCUCCUUCGACGAGUCGAGUAGUUUGGGAAUGCUGCUCAAAAUGGGAGGUAAAUUUCUUCUAAAGCUAAAUAUUGGCCAGAGACCGAUAGCGCACAAGUAGAGUGAUCGAAAGAUGAAAAGCACUUUGAAAAGAGGGUUAAAUAGCACGUGAAAUUGUUGAAAGGGAAGCGCUUGUGACCAGACUUGCGCCGGGCGGAUCAUCCGGUGUUCUCACCGGUGCACUCCGCCCGGCUCAGGCCAGCAUCGGUUCUCGCGGGGGGAUAAAGGCCCUGGGAACGUAGCUCCUCCGGGAGUGUUAUAGCCCGGGGCGUAAUGCCCUCGCGGGGACCGAGGACCGCGCAUCUGCAAGGAUGCUGGCGUAAUGGUCAUCAGCGACCCGUCUUGAAACACGGACCAAGGAGUCAAGGUUUUGCGCGAGUGUUUGGGUGUAAAACCCGCACGCGUAAUGAAAGUGAACGUAGGUGAGAGCUUCGGCGCAUCAUCGACCGAUCCUGAUGUUUUCGGAUGGAUUUGAGUAGGAGCGUUAAGCCUUGGACCCGAAAGAUGGUGAACUAUGCUUGGAUAGGGUGAAGCCAGAGGAAACUCUGGUGGAGGCUCGCAGCGGUUCUGACGUGCAAAUCGAUCGUCAAAUCUGAGCAUGGGGCGAAAGACUAAUCGAA